This 781-nucleotide ribosomal RNA is filed under the name uncultured fungus. Its description in RNAcentral is "eukaryotic LSU rRNA". The stretch from base 1 to 241 matches the Rfam family "Eukaryotic small subunit ribosomal RNA", at positions 1593 to 1831 of the family's 1831-position model. The record is from RNAcentral. Lineage: Eukaryota; Fungi.
UUGCUCUUCAACGAGGAAUGCCUAGUAAGCGCGUGUCAUCAGCAUGCGUUGAUUACGUCCCUGCCCUUUGUACACACCGCCCGUCGCUACUACCGAUUGAAUGGCUCAGUGAGGCCUUCGGACUGGCUUAGGGAGGUUGGCAACGACCACCUUGAGCCGGAAAGUUCGUCAAACUCGGUCAUUUAGAGGAAGUAAAAGUCGUAACAAGGUUUCCGUAGGUGAACCUGCGGAAGGAUCAUUACUUUCAGUACUUUGGGGGCUGUCAGUCUAUAUCACUAUAGCAAGCCUCCGUCUGAAACCCUUGUCUUUUGCGUACCUUAUGUUUCCUCGGCGGGCUUGCCCGCCGGUUGGACAACCAUAAAACCUUUUUAAUUUUCAAUCAGCGUCUGAAAAAACAUAAUAAUUACAACUUUCAACAACGGAUCUCUUGGUUCUGGCAUCGAUGAAGAACGCAGCGAAAUGCGAUAAGUAGUGUGAAUUGCAGAAUUCAGUGAAUCAUCGAAUCUUUGAACGCACAUUGCGCCCCUUGGUAUUCCAUGGGGCAUGCCUGUUCGAGCGUCAUUUGUACCCUCAAGCUAUGCUUGGUGUUGGGUGUUUGUCCUCUCCUUUUGCGAUUGGACUCGCCUCAAAGACAUUGGCAGCCAGUGUAUUGGUCUUGAAGCGCAGCACAUUUUGCGAUUCUUGCUGAUAGUCACUAGCAUCCAGUAAGCCUCUUUAUCACUUUUGACCUCGGAUCAGGUAGGGAUACCCGCUGAACUUAAGCAUAUCAAUAAGCGGAGGA